This 65-nucleotide transfer RNA is filed under the name Analcellicampa danfengensis. RNAcentral's name for it is "tRNA-His". Lineage: Eukaryota; Metazoa; Arthropoda; Insecta; Hymenoptera; Tenthredinidae. The record is from RNAcentral.
AUCUAAGUAGUUUAAAUAAAACAUUGAUUUGUGGAAUCAAAAAUAUAAAAAUUUUAUCUUAGAUA